GUGACCCCAGGUCAGGCGGGACUACCCGCUGAAUUUAA
RNAcentral lists this ribosomal RNA (38 nucleotides) under Hypericum calycinum. Its description in RNAcentral is "partial 26S ribosomal RNA". Lineage: Eukaryota; Viridiplantae; Streptophyta; Magnoliopsida; Malpighiales; Hypericaceae. RNAcentral also lists the same sequence under 1 other name. The record is from RNAcentral.